GGAGAGGUGGGUGAGCGGCUGAAACCGACGGUUUGCUAAACCGUUGUACGGCGUAAAGCUGUACCGAGGGUUCGAAUCCCUCCCUCUCCG
This 90-nucleotide transfer RNA is filed under the name Elusimicrobia bacterium GWA2_66_18. RNAcentral describes it as "tRNA-Ser". It matches the Rfam family "tRNA". Rfam says of the family: Transfer RNA (tRNA) molecules are approximately 80 nucleotides in length. Their secondary structure includes four short double-helical elements and three loops (D, anti-codon, and T loops). Lineage: Bacteria; Pseudomonadati; Elusimicrobiota. RNAcentral also lists the same sequence under 2 other names. The record is from RNAcentral.